Molecule: ribosomal RNA, 381 nt
Filed under: Ehrlichia chaffeensis
Lineage: Bacteria; Pseudomonadati; Pseudomonadota; Alphaproteobacteria; Rickettsiales; Anaplasmataceae
Description: bacterial SSU rRNA
Rfam family: Bacterial small subunit ribosomal RNA
Source: RNAcentral
CAAUUGCUUAUAACCUUUUGGUUAUAAAUUAGGAAUCUACCUAGUAGUAUGGAAUAGCCAUUAGAAAUGAUGGGUAAUACUGUAUAAUCCCUGCGGGGGAAAGAUUUAUCGCUAUUAGAUGAGCCUACGUUAGAUUAGCUAGUUGGUAAGGUAAUGGCUUACCAAGGCUAUGAUCUAUAGCUGGUCUGAGAGGACGAUCAGCCACACUGGAACUGAGAUACGGUCCAGACUCCUACGGGAGGCAGCAGUGGGGAAUAUUGGACAAUGGGUGAAAGCCUGAUCCAGCUAUGCCGCGUGAGUGAAGAAGGCCUUCGGGUUGUAAAACUCUUUCAAUAGGGAAGAUAAUGACGGUACCUAUAGGUACCGUCAUUAUCUUCCCUA